GUGUUGUAUGAAAAGAGAGGUUAGCACUCCCCUUGACAAGGAUGGAAGAAGUUAGGCCCUCGGGCCUAACAAUAUGCACAUGGUUAAGGCAUUGCCACUUACUUUAUGGCAUCUAACCAUCAUUUUUA
Rhinolophus ferrumequinum (greater horseshoe bat) is the source of this 128-nucleotide small nuclear RNA. The record is from Ensembl. NCBI's taxonomy places the organism in Eukaryota, Metazoa, Chordata, Mammalia, Chiroptera, Rhinolophidae.